GAAACCCAGUGCAAUUCGUUGCACUAUCGUUAACUGAAUACAUAGGUUAACGAGGCGAACCGGGGGAACUGAAACAUCUAAGUACCCCGAGGAAAAGAAAUCAACCGAGAUUCCCCCAGUAGCGGCGAGCGAACGGGGAGCAGCCCAGAGUCUGAAUCAGCUUGUGUGUUAGUGGAACGGUCUGGAAAGUCCGACGGUACAGGGUGAUAGUCCCGUACACCAAAAUGCACAGGUUGUGAACUCGAAGAGUAGGGCGGGACACGUGGUAUCCUGUCUGAAUAUGGGGGGACCAUCCUCCAAGGCUAAAUACUCCUGACUGACCGAUAGUGAACCAGUACCGUGAGGGAAAGGCGAAAAGAACCCCGGCGAGGGGAGUGAAAAAGAACCUGAAACCGUGU
This 398-nucleotide ribosomal RNA is filed under the name Klebsiella aerogenes. RNAcentral's name for it is "partial 23S ribosomal RNA". It matches the Rfam family "Bacterial large subunit ribosomal RNA", at positions 123 to 561 of the family's 2925-position model. Lineage: Bacteria; Pseudomonadati; Pseudomonadota; Gammaproteobacteria; Enterobacterales; Enterobacteriaceae. The record is from RNAcentral.